RNAcentral lists this ribosomal RNA (200 nucleotides) under uncultured organism. RNAcentral's name for it is "partial small subunit ribosomal RNA". It matches the Rfam family "Bacterial small subunit ribosomal RNA", at positions 1184 to 1382 of the family's 1533-position model. The record is from RNAcentral.
GUCAAGUCCUCAUGGCCCUUAUGGGCUGGGCUACACACGUGCUACAAUGGGGAGGACAAAGGGCUGCCACUUGGCGACAAGGAGCUAAUCCCAAAAACCUCUUCUCAGUUCAGAUUGCAGUCUGCAACUCGACUGCAUGAAGCUGGAAUCGCUAGUAAUCGUAUAUCAGCAAUGAUACGGUGAAUACGUUCCCGGACCUU